CCUACGGGUGGCAGCAGUCGGGAAUAUUGCGCAAUGGAGGAAACUCUGACGCAGUGACGCCGCGUGCAGGAAGAAGGUUUUCGGAUUGUAAACUGCUUUAGACAGGGAAGAAAAAAGACAGUAUCUGUAGAAUAAGCUCCGGGUAACUACGUGCCAGCAGCCGCGGUAAUACGGAGGGAGCAAGCGUUAUACGGAUUUAUUGGGUGUAAAGGGUGAGUAGAGGGAGAAGCAAGUUAGUAGUGAAAUGCCUCGGCUUAACUGACGAACUGCAACUAAAAAUACUUCCCUUGAGUACUGGAGAGGAAAGUGGAAGUCCUAGUGUAGCGGUGAAAUGCGUAGAUAUUAGGAGGAACACCAGUGGCGAAGGCGACUUUCUGGACAGUAACUGACGUUGAGGCACGAAAGUGUGGGGAGCAAACAGGAUUAGAUACCCUUGUAGUC
This 441-nucleotide ribosomal RNA is filed under the name uncultured bacterium. RNAcentral describes it as "partial 16S ribosomal RNA". It matches the Rfam family "Bacterial small subunit ribosomal RNA", at positions 338 to 795 of the family's 1533-position model. The record is from RNAcentral.